Molecule: ribosomal RNA, 449 nt
Filed under: uncultured bacterium
Lineage: Bacteria
Description: partial 16S ribosomal RNA
Rfam family: Bacterial small subunit ribosomal RNA
Source: RNAcentral
AAUGAACGCUGGCGGCAGGCCUAACACAUGCAAGUCGAACGGAUCCUUCGGGAUUAGUGGCGGACGGGUGAGUAACGCGUGGGAACAUACCCUUUGGUACGGAAUAGCCUCAGGAAACUGGGAGUAAUACCGUAUGUGGUCGAGAGACGAAAGAUUUAUCGCUAAAGGAUUGGCCCGCGUUGGAUUAGGUAGUUGGUGGGGUAAUGGCCUACCAAGCCGACGAUCCAUAGCUGGUUUGAGAGGAUGAUCAGCCACACUGGGACUGAGACACGGCCCAGACUCCUACGGGAGGCAGCAGUGGGGAAUCUUAGACAAUGGGGGAAACCCUGAUCUAGCCAUGCCGCGUGAUCGAUGAAGGCCUUAGGGUUGUAAAGAUCUUUCAGGUGGGAAGAUAAUGACUGUACCACCAGAAGAAGCCCCGGCUAACUCCGUGCCAGCAGCCGCCGUAA